This 232-nucleotide unclassified non-coding RNA is filed under the name soil metagenome. Its description in RNAcentral is "partial internal transcribed spacer 1". The record is from RNAcentral.
UUGAAUUUUAAUGAAGAGUCUGGUUGUAGCUGGCCCAUUCAUUUGGGCAUGUGCACACCUUCCUCUUUCAUCCCACACACACCUGUGAACCUGUGAGACAGAGAUGGGGAAUUUACUUGCUGCUUUUUGGAAUACAAAGGCAAUAGGUUAUUGGACCCCCCCUCUGUCUACUCAAUUAAUAUAAACUCAAUUUAUUUUAAAACGAAUGUAAUGGAUGUAACACAUCUCAUAC